Molecule: long non-coding RNA, 3129 nt
Filed under: Homo sapiens (human)
Lineage: Eukaryota; Metazoa; Chordata; Mammalia; Primates; Hominidae
Description: HSALNT0336780
Source: RNAcentral
AUAUAUUUUUUAUUAUCAUUUAGAUUUACAAUUGUUAAGAUAUGAAAUAUAUAAAAAUAAGCAAUUCAAAGGAAACACAGUUUGUCGAGGUGAUUGUUGUUUUGGUUUGAUUAUUUUGUAUAUAUGAACAUGUAUACAUAUAUAUGCAUAUAUUUUUAUUUAUUUAUUAGAAUAAAGCAAAAGGUAGAAAGGCAGAGGUUGUUUGGGAAAAGUACCCCAAAAGAAAACAAUUAUUUCCAAUAUAUUUUAAGAUUGAAGAGAAAGUAUUGAUUUGAAUCAUUUUCCCACUGGUUCAUGGAAAAAAACAACUCAUAAAAUGAGUUUGAUGGGCACAAAGAAUUAACUUUGACCUUUCUUUGGCUUCAGAGGAUCCAGGUCAACUUGGAGAGACUGGAAGUGUUAUGACACAGGAGAGGCCAAUGGGACACAGCCCCACACUCAGAAAACUGCUCCCUCUCACACAGCCAGCCAGCAACAGCCUUUCACAGUGAUGUUGCUUCUCUUUCUAUGUCAGGGUUAAGGUCAUUUUUAGGGCACAGCGAGGAAAUGUAGAGGCCCGGGCUGUCUGCACCACAUCUGUGCUGUGAGAAACAGGGGGUUUCAGUUUCCAGCCUCUGAAUAUCACACAACCUAACCUUUACCUGCCUGCCCUCACCCUAGUACACAAAAAGCAUAAAAAUAAAAUUAGACGUUUCAGAGUAUGGACUAGCAAGGUCAAAGGUAGACAUUCCUGAAACACAUUAGGACCUUAGGACCUUCAGAAAAAGGUAACCGAUACAGGCAGAGCCUUAUUAUUCAGCUAUGAUCAUACAGUCUCCUGUUUAGUUAUUUUACAGGAUAAGAAAGGGUUGGGAGGUGAGUGUGUAGAAACUAUAUUUCAGUUACUGUUUUGGUACAUAUGGGGGCAGAAAUCUCAGGUUAUUUAUAAGUAUACAGGUUACUGAGGGCUGUAUUUGCAAAUAUAACCAGUUUCUUAUCAUCUAGAGCUUAUUCUUAUAUUUACUUCAUUAAUCACCAAUCACACUUCUGGAAUAUAGAACAGAAGCAGUGAAAUUGACAUUGGAAGGGACAUAAAGAGAGGAAGCAUUUUACUGUGUGGUUCUGGAGCUAGUGAACUCUUAGAGAAUAGGAACCCAAUAAUCUUACUCAUAAGUAUAAAAACAUCAUUAAUAAAAGCUAGUAUUGACUUAACACUUUUCCUAAGCUGUGAGCUGCCUUUUGCGCUUUCCAUGUGGUACUUUGUCAAUCCUCAUAACAUAUCUGUGAGCUAUUAUAAUUAUUGGCAUUUCAAUAUGAUGAGAAAAUUGGGACCGUUUCUUCAUAUUUAAUAUAAUUUUUCUAUAUUGACCCACAAAGUAGCUGAAUAUUCCCAAUGUGUUCAUGGCAUUCAAAAACAGCAAGUGCUAUUGCCCAUUUACAAUGAAGGAAACAUGUCACUAGUGGUGCUUGUGAUGCCCUUGGGUUUCUCUGAGAUUGUACAGAUGUAAGUUCUUGAUUUACUAAGCCAUGCUAACUGAGAAAUCUUUUAACUGAAAAUAGUAAUAAAGAAGGGAAAAAUAACCUUUAGAAAUACGACAUAAAUUGGUGCAGAAAGUGGUGCAGAACCAGGCUAUGGGUAGGACAAGAGACAAUUAUCAGUGAGGUAUGGUUUAAGGGGCAGUGGAAGUUUGCUUACACCAGACAUUUACCUCCAGUUCAGGCUUUGCAAUUAGACAAAGCUAGAAUCAAACACUAAUUUUAUUAUAGCUAUUGUGACUGUCUUUGAGCAGAAGUUUAAUUCGUCCAAAAGUUGCCGUGAGAAUGAAGCUAGGCAAUGAAUGUCAAUACUUUGAAUGUGACAAGUCUUCCAAUACAUUUUGUUUCCUUUGUUCUCCUUUUCUAACUUGUCUUCCUUCCUGUGAUUUAAAGUGAGGGUUUAAAAUGAGGAAUUUUCAUAUAAUGAGUGAUAGAAACAUAUGAAAGUAUUAGAACCUGCCCUUGGAAGAACCACUAUCUAAUGUUAUACUUUGUGACCUAGAAAAGGCUUUCAGCUCUUAAACAUUUUCCAAUCAUUUAGAUAUUUAUUCAGGCUAACAAAAAUAACAAACUCAGGAAUCUAUACAAAUAAUUAGCUUGUCCAAAAAUGGCACUACAUUUUACAUUGUAUUAGGAAAGAGAAAUUGCAAUACCAUAAUAUUGGUCAAUGUUAUUUAUUAUCUCUUGGUCUUUUCCUGUUUCUCACCAGGUUCCUAUAAAGUUCCUGAUAGUUGAAGAAAGUCAGGAGAUCUUAGAAACUGACUUUCAUUUAUAACCUGCUGAUUCACCUAGAUCAGGUUACUGGGAAGAAAUCCAAGUCAGACCUCCUGACCUACUCGAAACAGCAUGAGGAAUUUUGGAAAUACAUCUGGUGCUUCCAGUGACUGUAUAAUAAUCAAUGUAUCCUGACUCUAAAGAAAAGCAGAAGUGAAACUGAAAGUACAGACUACAAGGUGGAAUAUGAUCCCUCUACUAUCAACUAAAAGUCUUAGACUUGCUACCCUUCUGAAAAUGGUUCUGAAGGGGCCCAGGAAGAAACCUCCUCUUCCCCAGCUGAGUUGAGAACCAAGUGGAAGACAAAGAAGUUAGACAGCAGAUGAAAAAGUGACCUGCCUUGCACCUUGCCAGUUGGCUUGCUAGCUCUCCCCUGAUUUGAACUUCUGACAACAGAACAUGCUCCACCAAACUUACCAUGUGAAGGACAGCACAUGGGCAUUCUUUCUGAGACCUGCAAAGAAAACAAAGGGAGAGGCUAAGCAGACAAAGGAAAACUCUUUCUUCUCAAAUCAAUCAGAUAAUGAACUCCUGUUCCCUUUAGGAGAAAUGAGUGGGUGGGGAGAGAAAAGCAAGCAGUUGACCUCUGGAGGUCCUUAGACUUAAAAACAUAAAGCCCAAGGAAGAAAAUUCCUCCCCAGCAUUAACUUGGACCAGUAAUGUUUUUCUAUUUAUAUUCCAUAUGUAAAUAUGCCUGUGAGGUAUUAUGUAUUGUCUUUGUGCCUUUAAGUGCAUUUCUUUAAAAAAUCUGUAACUUUAAACUUAAAUAGAAAGGCACAAAAUGGAUUGUUAUUUUAUACAAUGGAGUUCUGAUAUUAAUUAUUGUUACUUCUCACAAAA